This 1209-nucleotide long non-coding RNA is filed under the name Homo sapiens (human). RNAcentral describes it as "HSALNT0268029". The record is from RNAcentral. Lineage: Eukaryota; Metazoa; Chordata; Mammalia; Primates; Hominidae.
CUCCAAAGUGUUAAACAAAGAAUUGCCAUAUGACCCAUCAAUUAUACCCCUAAGUAUAUACCCAAGUGAAUUGAAAACAUAUGUCCAUGCAAAAUCUUGUACAGUAACAUGUCAGUCAUGAUGUCUGCCCCACUUACCCACAGACCCUUCUAAAGACAGAGCAGAAGUCACCUUCUUUGGUACCAUGUGACUGGCAACUUCUGCUCACACCACAGCUGAUUGUGUCAGACAUGGGCAUCAGCCCCAGGGGCAGCCAAUGCAUGGGCAGGGCAAGUGAUUUAUGAGAUAGCUGGACCCAGAAUAUCUGGCCCAACAGGAACCAGGUUGACCUGUGAGAUUGCCACCUGGGAUGCAUUUAAAUUAGAAACUCCAGAGUAAAUCAACUUGUUAAGAAAAGGAUUUGAAGCUGAAGGUAUAAAAGAUAUAUGAGACAGGAGGGAGUAGGGUGGGAAAUGAAAGAACAGAAACUGAAUAUUCAGAGCUAGGGGGUAGAGAAAAGAAACUAAAAAAAGCGCAAAGGUGGUCAGUUUCCAGCAAUACAGCAGAUUAGAUAGCCUGAAACACUCAACCCCACCCGCAAAAACAUCUGGAAAUUCUGAGUAAAAGAUAACAAGUACUCUUUUAAAUGAAUCACAGGGUUCACAGGAAAGAAAGGGAAAUCCCCCAUGUCAAAAAACAAAAAUGGAACUGAAACCCAACCGGUAGUGUGAACUGAUAGAUACUAUGCCAGAGGAGGAGGUGUCACGGGUCUCAGAAAGCAAAGACCUCCUAAUGCAAUGCAAAUACAAGGGCAGGAAAUCAGGCCUUGGGGCUCAUGUAAUCCAAAAUUACAAUAUAGAAAUCAUCCUCCUGGAGCUAGGAGUCAACCCAGCAAGCAAAGGCGUACUUUCAGAUAAUAGCAUGUUUGCACAAAAACCAUCGAAAGAUGAGCUAAUAAUUAUUAAAGACACAAAAGAAGGUACCAAAAUAUGCAAACAGAAUAAUAUCAUAAAAAACAAAAAAAAACAAAAAACAAGCAGGUUUGAUAAAGAACCUGGCUCAGGCCUGUAAUCCCAGCACUUUGGGAGGCCGAGGUGGGCAGAUCACGAGGUCAGGAGAUCAAGACCAUCCUGGUUAACACGGUGAAACCCCCGUCUCCACUAAAAAUACAAAAAAAUUAGCUGGGCAUGGUAGCAGGCACCUGUAGUUCCAGCUACUCGGGAGGCUGAG